GGGGCCUGCUUGGCUGACUGGGCAGGCACCUGUCUGCCUCAGGAGGAGAAUGGCCAUUCCACUCUGGGAAGCCCUGGAGGAGGACGGCUCUAGGUGCCCCCUCCUACGGCCUGCGGGGUCUGGCUCAGAGCCGUGGACCCACUGCGCUCUAUUAGCUCUCCGAAGGCAAACACAAGCCCGCGCGGCCCGCGGAAUCCGGAGGCAGUUUGCCGAAUGGCCACUGGCCACACAGGUCUGCAGCGGUUUCUCUGCCCUGGGAGCAGCAUCUCUUCCACUCGGACUGGCGUCUGCUUCUCUGGGAGGCCGUUGGUUUUCCCUCCCAGCUCCCCAGGCAGUGCCCUUUCUCCGAAUCCUCCCUCUUGCAGACAAGAACUCCACUUUGGAAACAAUAACGAGGGUUACCAUGGAGACAGGAGGAGUUUCCAUCCCCGGCCCUCCAGAUAAACUGUCAGGCGUUUUUGGCGGCCCCGCCUGGGUCCCAUGACUAGAGCACUUGGGAACAUUGAGAAGCUCGCGUUCUGCGAUCCAUCUCCGAAGCGGGUCAGAGCUGCGAGGUCCGGCCACUAAAGUCAGGGAGGGUCGGCACAGGAAUUUCACAAGCAAAGGCCGGCUUCCUCGCUUUGAAACUUUCGAAAGCUCUGUUCAGAUCCACGACCCAGCGCGCCUGAAGUGCUAAGUGAGUUAGGGGUAAUUCGAUACAAUAUUGAUCACUGUUGCUGGCAGUUUUCAGCCUUGAUCAAACGUGAAAAUGGUGUCUGUUAAUCAAGUUAGAAAAUAUUACUUUCUGGGAAAAUUGAGCUGAGCUGAAGAAGCAAGGUAGAGGGAAGAAAAAAACAUCUCAGACCCUCUGUUGGGGCGAAUCCACGUCUUUUCAACAGAAACAGGCCCGUCAGCCGUGGCUGUCAGUCAGUAAAUAUUCACUGAAUAAUGGAAACAGCAGCUCAAAAGAAAGCUCCUGUCUGAAGAGUGAGUGCUGAAUUCUCCUGCAGUUUACCUCUCCCGGGUGCUGUUGGAGGCCUUCACCCACAGCACAGCCAGGCGCCAUUUGCCCCAAAGGGUUCCACGGGGCAGAGCCGUAAAGAGGCUCAGGCCAACAGUUGUGGCACAUGGGAGGCCAUGGUCUGCGCCCACCCACAACCUCAGCUGGAGCACAUUAAUCACAGGGCCACCUGGACAGGCCUGGGUGUGGGGAGAGGUGCCGGAGGCUUUGGGUAAUGGGGUCUGGUGGCUUGGGGUCUCCCACCUGUGGAGGCGACCAUGGGUGGGAGCAAAACGUGCAGAAUGGCCAUUUGGCCCAAGCCAAACCUCCAUUUGAAGCUUCGCACUGUCACAGAGCUGGCAGGACUGGGAGACGAAGGCGCGCACAGUCGUCUUAAACGCGGCCCCACCGGCAGGCCACGUAAGGAUUAGUCGUUUUUCUGAGUGCUGCAAUUAUCUGGGAAGGUGCAAAUUCUGUCCAGGAGUGUGCUGCUCAGCCACUCUCCAGGAUGAAGGGGUGGAGAUCCCCCGGUUGGUGGCCUUUACCAGUUUCCACGGUGUAAACACCCCACUAAGGCUAGCUGCGGGCCGUCAGCGGUUUAGGAACCAGCUCGCGAAUUUUCUAAACAUUUAACAGUCGGCUCUCAUGAGCCUCUUCCAGCUGGCGUCGUCUCACUUUCUGCACGUAAAUGAGUGUUUAUUAAAAGUGAGCAGAUGAACCGUACCACCGUUUUGUAAACCCCAGGAGCCUCAAAAGAUUGAGAGGGUGCGAAGAGUCUGUCUCGACCUCGGAAAUUACACUUGUAUAAACCGCUCUGCUCCGCUCUGUUUGAGCUGUUUCUAAACCUGGGAAGGGUUUUUCUCCAAUCUCCAUCCGCCGUGGUCCUCUCCAUCCUUCCCUCCUUCCACCUUUAUUAUUUCACUGCUAUGCCCCCCAGAGCCACGAUGGAAUGUCCCGUCCCCAUCUCUCAUGGUAAGCGGUCCCGUCACUCCUCUCCCAUAGCACGCAGACUUACCCUAGAAAUUACUCACUCAUUCACUCGAGAAAUAUCCCCUGGGAAUUUAUUAUCUCCAAGGUACAUUCUAGGUGCCAGAAUAAUAAUAAAGCUAUCUUGUCUUAAGUAAACAUUUGGGAGGUCACAAUAGUAAUACAUGUUCACAGCAGAGCAUUUGGAAAAUGCAAAACAGGAUACAAAAUAAUUUUGUAACCUGCAAUUCCAUUAUCCAGAGAUAACAACUGUUAAUAUUUUGAUGUAUUUCUAGCCAGUUAUUUUUCCUUGUACAAAAUGCAUGUUUAAAAACCCUAUCAUAGCCAUUUAAUAAUACAUUAGGGGCCUUUCUAUGUCAUCAAACAUUUUUCUGUACAAUAUAAUUUUAAUAACUGUAUAAUAUUCCAUUGUGUGACUGUGCCAUGAUCUGUUUGCUCAAUUUCCUUUGUUAAACACUUAGAUAAUACUCACCAUUUCACUACUCUGAACCGUGCUGCAAUAAAAACUCUCAUAAUUAGUGUUUGCACAAGCCUAUGGUUAAUUACCUAGGACAAAUACUAUUUUCCAGUUCAUUUAUGGUAUUCUUUUUGGCCCAAGAGUUAUUUAGGAGAAAAUUUUUAAGUUUAAUCUGUUGUGUUUUAUUUUAUGCAUAACUCCUAUAUUUUUAGUAUACUUCUUAUUGCUUAACAUACCUGCAAAAAUAUAUCAAAUCAUAAAUGUCAGCUCAGUGAAUUCUACUAGGUAAACACACCCACAUAACCAGCAUGCAGAUAUCGGAACGGAAUGUUGCCACCACCUCAGAAACCCCCUUGUGCCCCGAUGCAGACAUGCCCUUCACUCUCCCAUCCAGGGAGAACCGUUAUCAUGGCUUCUAACACCAUAGAUGAGCUUGCUUGUUUUUGAAUUUUAGAUAAAUGGAAUCCUAAAAUGCAAAUUCUUUCGUGUCUACAAG
Long non-coding RNA from Equus caballus (horse), 2919 nucleotides. The record is from Ensembl. NCBI's taxonomy places the organism in Eukaryota, Metazoa, Chordata, Mammalia, Perissodactyla, Equidae.